GAUGAACGCUGGCGGCGUGCCUAAUACAUGCAAGUCGAGCGAACGGACGAGAAGCUUGCUUCUCUGAUGUUAGCGGCGGACGGGUGAGUAACACGUGGAUAACCUACCUAUAAGACUGGGAUAACUUCGGGAAACCGGAGCUAAUACCGGAUGAUAUUUUGAACCGCAUGGUUCAAAAGUGAAAGACGGUCUUGCUGUCACUUAUAGAUGGAUCCGCGCUGCAUUAGCUAGUUGGUAAGGUAACGGCUUACCAAGGCAACGAUGCAUAGCCGACCUGAGAGGGUGAUCGGCCACACUAGAACUGAGACACGGUCCAGACUCCUACGGGAGGCAGCAGUAGGGAAUCUUCCGCAAUGGGCGAAAGCCUGACGGGACAACGCCGCGUGAGUGAUGAAAGUCUUCGGAUCGUAAAACUCUGUUAUUAGGGAAGAACAUAUGUGUAAGUAACUGUGCACAUCUUGACGGUACCUAAUCAGAAAGCCACGGCUAACUACGUG
RNAcentral lists this ribosomal RNA (497 nucleotides) under uncultured bacterium. Its description in RNAcentral is "partial 16S ribosomal RNA". It matches the Rfam family "Bacterial small subunit ribosomal RNA", at positions 28 to 507 of the family's 1533-position model. The record is from RNAcentral.